This 491-nucleotide ribosomal RNA is filed under the name uncultured Glomus. RNAcentral describes it as "SSU rRNA". It matches the Rfam family "Eukaryotic small subunit ribosomal RNA", at positions 569 to 1064 of the family's 1831-position model. The record is from RNAcentral. Lineage: Eukaryota; Fungi; Glomeromycota; Glomeromycetes; Glomerales; Glomeraceae.
AGCAGCCGCGGUAAUUCCAGCUCCAAUAGCGUAUAUUAAAGUUGUCGCAGUUAAAAAGCUCGUAGUUGAAUUUCGGGAUCAAUACGUCGGUCGUGCUUCGGUACGUACUGGCGUAAUUGAUUUCUCCCUUCUGACGAACCAUGAUGUCAUUAACUUGGUGUCAUGGGAAAUCAGGACUGUUACUUUGAAAAAAUUAGAGUGUUUAAAGCAGGCUCACGCUUGAAUACAUUAGCAUGGAAUAAUGAAAUAGGACGUUCGACCCUAUUUUGUUGGUUUCUAGGAUCGACGUAAUGAUUAAUAGGGAUAGUUGGGGCAUUAGUAUUCAAUUGUCAGAGGUGAAAUUCUUGGAUUUAUUGAAGACUAACUACUGCGAAAGCAUUUGCCAAGGAUGUUUUCAUUAAUCAAAGAACGAAAGUUAGGGGAUCGAAGACGAUCAAGAUACCGUCGUAGUCUUAACCAUAAACUAUGCCGACUAGGGAUCGGAUGAUGUU